AGUGAACGCUGGCGGUAGGCCUAACACAUGCAAGUCGAACGGCAGCACAGUAAGAGCUUGCUCUUACGGGUGGCGAGUGGCGGACGGGUGAGGAAUACAUCGGAAUCUACUUUUUCGUGGGGGAUAACGUAGGGAAACUUACGCUAAUACCGCAUACGACCUACGGGUGAAAGCAGGGGAUCUUCGGACCUUGCGCGAUUGAAUGAGCCGAUGUCGGAUUAGCUAGUUGGCGGGGUAAAGGCCCACCAAGGCGACGAUCCGUAGCUGGUCUGAGAGGAUGAUCAGCCACACUGGAACUGAGACACGGUCCAGACUCCUACGGGAGGCAGCAGUGGUGAAUAUUGGACAAUGGGCGCAAGCCUGAUCCAGCCAUACCGCGUGGGUGAAGAAGGCCUUCGGGUUGUAAAGCCCUUUUGUUGGGAAGGAAAAGCAGCAGGUUAAUACCCCGCUGUUCUGACGGUACCCAAAGAAUAAGCACCGGCUAACUUCGUG
This 492-nucleotide ribosomal RNA is filed under the name uncultured bacterium. RNAcentral's name for it is "partial 16S ribosomal RNA". It matches the Rfam family "Bacterial small subunit ribosomal RNA", at positions 29 to 507 of the family's 1533-position model. The record is from RNAcentral.